UACGAAGGGGGCUAGCGUUGCUCGGAAUCACUGGGCGUAAAGCGCACGUAGGCCGAUUGUUAAGUCAGGGGUGAAAUCCUGGAGCUCAACUCCAGAACUGCCCUUGAUACUGACGGUCUCGAGUCCGGGAGAGGUGAGUGGAACUGCGAGUGUAGAGGUGAAAUUCGUAGAUAUUCGCAAGAACACCAGUGGCGAAGGCGACUACCUGGCCUGUUCUUGACGCUGAGGCGCGAAAGCUAGGGGAGCAAACGGG
This 253-nucleotide ribosomal RNA is filed under the name uncultured bacterium. RNAcentral's name for it is "partial 16S ribosomal RNA". It matches the Rfam family "Bacterial small subunit ribosomal RNA", at positions 524 to 776 of the family's 1533-position model. The record is from RNAcentral.